This 496-nucleotide ribosomal RNA is filed under the name uncultured bacterium. Its description in RNAcentral is "partial 16S ribosomal RNA". It matches the Rfam family "Bacterial small subunit ribosomal RNA", at positions 29 to 507 of the family's 1533-position model. The record is from RNAcentral.
AUGAACGCUGGCGGCGUGCCUCAUACAUGCCAGUCGCGCGAACAGACGAGGAGCUUGCUCCUCUGACGUUAGCGGCGGACGGGUGAGUAACACGUGGAUAACCUACCUAUAAGACUGGGAUAACUUCGGGAAACCGGAGCUAAUACCGGAUAAUAUAUUGAACCGCAUGGUUCAAUAGUGAAAGACGGUUUUGCUGUCACUUAUAGAUGGAUCCGCGCCGCAUUAGCUAGUUGGUAAGGUAACGGCUUACCAAGGCAACGAUGCGUAGCCGACCUGAGAGGGUGAUCGGCCACACUGGAACUGAGACACGGUCCAGACUCCUACGGGAGGCAGCAGUAGGGAAUCUUCCGCAGUGGGCGAAAGCUUGACGGAGCAACGCCGCGUGAGUGAUGAAGGUCUUCGGAUCGUAAAACUCUGUUAUUAGGGAAGAACAAAUGUGUAAGUAACUAUGCACGUCUUGACGGUACCUAAUCAGAAAGCCACGGCUAACUACGUG